This 304-nucleotide long non-coding RNA is filed under the name Camarhynchus parvulus. RNAcentral's name for it is "lncRNA (ENSCPVG00000005854.2)". Lineage: Eukaryota; Metazoa; Chordata; Aves; Passeriformes; Thraupidae. The record is from RNAcentral.
GGAGCAGCUCGGGACAGUGGAGGAGUCGGACCGCCCUAGCGGGAAGGCUUUCUCAUCUACCAGUGCCGAGCAAAAUUCUGUAAAAAGAGUGAUCCAGAAGAGGGCAACAUUCACAGCCAUUCUGAGACCUAGGACAAGCAAAUGCUUUCACACUGACAGAAGAUGCUGCGAUGCUUUGAGAGCAGAGGACAGAACAAAAUAAAAGCAGCUGAAGUUAGAAGACAGAAAGGGGUAAAAUAAAGGGAGUACAUAAGACUGGGGGGAAAAAAGGAAAUGGGAAAGUAUGAAUUGCUAGACACUAGGU